ACACUCUGGUUUCUCUUCAGCUCAUAUAAAUCUUUCACUUUUUACUAAAGAUUACCAUGGACAGGAACAGGUAUGGGUCUUUAACCAAUUUUUUGAUGACCGGGCUUUCUUUCCAGAA
Echinops telfairi (small Madagascar hedgehog) is the source of this 118-nucleotide small nuclear RNA. Its record names the gene U5. It matches the Rfam family "U5 spliceosomal RNA". Rfam says of the family: U5 RNA is a component of both types of known spliceosome. The precise function of this molecule is unknown, though it is known that the 5' loop is required for splice site selection and p220 binding, and that both the 3' stem-loop and the Sm site are important for Sm protein binding and cap methylation. NCBI's taxonomy places the organism in Eukaryota, Metazoa, Chordata, Mammalia, Afrosoricida, Tenrecidae. The record is from Ensembl.